AGCGAACGCUAGCGGCGGGCCUAACACAUGCAAGUCGAGCGGGGGAGCAAUCCCCAGCGGCGGACGGGUGAGUAACACGUAGGUUAUGUGCCCUUUGGUGGGGAAUAACCGUGGGAAACCAUGGCUAAUUCCGCAUAUCGAGCGAAAUCUUGAAAGCCUUCGGGCGCCAAAGGAGCAACCUGCGGCCCAUUAGCUUGUUGGUAGGGUAACGGCCUACCAAGGCGAUGAUGGGUAGCUGGUCUGAGAGGAUGAUCAGCCACACUGGAACUGAGACACGGUCCAGACUCCUACGGGAGGCAGCAGUGGGGAAUAUUGCGCAAUGGGCGAAAGCCUGACGCAGCCACGCCGCGUGAGUGAUGAAGGGCCUUCGGGUCGUAAAACUCUGUCGGGAGGGACGAAGGGGCGAACCCUGACGGUACCUCGCAGAAAGCACCGGCUAACUCUGUGCCAGCAGCCGC
Molecule: ribosomal RNA, 458 nt
Filed under: uncultured bacterium
Lineage: Bacteria
Description: bacterial SSU rRNA
Rfam family: Bacterial small subunit ribosomal RNA
Source: RNAcentral